Long non-coding RNA from Physella acuta, 666 nucleotides. RefSeq lists it as uncharacterized. Lineage: Eukaryota; Metazoa; Mollusca; Gastropoda; Physidae. The record is from RefSeq and is a predicted model, not a curated record.
CUCAUUAGUGUUGAUUUAAGCUGGUUGAACAUUAACUUUUUUAAUCAACAAUUUUCUUAAAUUAACUUAACUUUUUAAUCAACACUUUUCUUAAAUUAACUUAACUUUUUAAAAAUUGAGAUAAAACUUGGUAUAAAAACACACAUUUCUACAACCUUGUUCUCUAAUUAUUUCACAAGAAAGACAAGAUUCUUCAGCCCUAUUCCACCCCACCCACCACACACACAAUGAAAGUACUCGCCCUUGCCGUCGUCUGCCUACUGGCCUUGACCUCCGCCCAGGACACGCUCAAGAGUGACGUCCUCUGCGUCAUAAGCCACCUGUCGUCUGCAUCCUGUAGGAACACGGCCACAGCUCAGGCCAACGGUAGCAGCGACCCCACCACCGCCUGCUCCACCCUGGAGACCUUCAAGACCCUCCUCCCCAUCGUUGGCUGCACCACGGCUGACUACAACGCUCUGCACAGGGUCGUCUGCGAGCAUAUCGUUGACCCCUGCGUCCCCGCCCGACGAUAAACUCAUAACCCCAACCCCUGUCAGCUAAACUCAUAACCCCAACCCUUGUCAGCUAAACUCAUGACCCCAACCCCUGUCAGAUAAAUUCAUGACCCCAACCCCUGUCAGAUAAACUCAUUUUUUAACCUGCAUUAAACAUCUCAUAAACUUA